UACGAAGGGGGCUAGCGUUGCUCGGAAUCACUGGGCGUAAAGCGCACGUAGGCGGCUUUUUAAGUCAGGGGUGAAAUCCUGGAGCUCAACUCCAGAACUGCCUUUGAUACUGAGAUCUUGAGUCGGGAGAGGUGAGUGGAACUGCGAGUGUAGAGGUGAAAUUCGUAGAUAUUCGCAAGAACACCAGUGGCGAAGGCGGCUCACUG
RNAcentral lists this ribosomal RNA (206 nucleotides) under uncultured bacterium. Its description in RNAcentral is "partial 16S ribosomal RNA". It matches the Rfam family "Bacterial small subunit ribosomal RNA", at positions 524 to 731 of the family's 1533-position model. The record is from RNAcentral.